Molecule: ribosomal RNA, 497 nt
Filed under: uncultured bacterium
Lineage: Bacteria
Description: partial 16S ribosomal RNA
Rfam family: Bacterial small subunit ribosomal RNA
Source: RNAcentral
GAUGAACGCUGGCGGCGUGCCUAAUACAUGCAAGUCGAGCGAACAGACGAGGAUCUUGCUCCUCUGACGUUAGCGGCGGACGGGUGAGUAACACGUGGAUAACCUACCUAUAAGACUGGGAUAACUUCGGGAAACCGGAGCUAAUACCGGAUAAUAUAUUGAACCGCAUGGUUCAAUAGUGAAAGACGGUUUUGCUGUCACUUAUAGAUGGAUCCGCGCCGCAUUAGCUAGUUGGUAAGGUAACGGCUUACCAAGGCAACGAUGCGUAGCCGACCUGAGAGGGUGAUAGGCCACACUGGAACUGAGACACGGUCCAGACUCCUACGGGAGGCAGCAGUAGGGAAUCUUCCGCAAAGGGCGAAAGCCUGACGGAGCAACGCCGCGUGAGUGAUGAAGGUCUUCGGAUCGUAAAAAUCUGUUAUUAGGGAAGAACAAAUGUGUAAGUAACUAUGCACGUCUUGACGGUACCUAAUCAGAAAGCCACGGCUAACUACGUG